This 440-nucleotide ribosomal RNA is filed under the name uncultured bacterium. RNAcentral's name for it is "partial 16S ribosomal RNA". It matches the Rfam family "Bacterial small subunit ribosomal RNA", at positions 338 to 795 of the family's 1533-position model. The record is from RNAcentral.
CCUACGGGUGGCAGCAGUGGGGAAUAUUGCACAAUGGGGGAAACCCUGAUGCAGCGACGCCGCGUGAGUGAAGAAGUAUCUCGGGAUGUAAAGCUCUAUCAGCAGGGAAGAAAAUGACGGUACUUGACUAAGAAGCCCUGGCUAACUACGUGCCAGCAGCCGCGGUAAUACGUAGGGGGCAAGCGUUAUCCGGAUUUACUGGGUGUAAAGGGAGCGUAGACGGGGUGGCAAGUCCGGAGUGAAAGUCCAUGGCUUAAGCCUGGUACUGCGCUGGACACUGUGGAGCUUGAGUGCGGGAGGGGCAGGCGGAAUUCCUGGUGUAGCGGUGAAAUGCGGAGAUAUUAGGAAGAACACCGGCGGCGAAGGCAGCCUGCUGGACCGUAACUGACGUGGAGGCUCGAAAGCGUGGGGAGCAAACAGGAUUAGAUACCCUGGUAGUC